AGUCUAGCAUGUGCGCGAGUCAUUGGGAAUCAAUAAACCUAAAGGCGCAAUGAAAGUGAAAGUCUGUUUACGCGGACUUAGGGAGGAUAGGUGCGUACACCUUGUGUACAACCUCGCACUCCCGGGGCGUCUCGCACUCAUUGCGAGGUGGGGCGCACCAAGAGCGUACACGCUGGGACCCGAAAGAUGGUGAACUAUGCCUGGUCAGGACGAAGUCAGGGGAAACCCUGAUGGAGGUCCGUAGCGAUUCUGACGUGCAAAUCGAUCGUCGGAACUGGGCUUAGGGGCGAAAGACUAAUCGAACCAUCUAGUAGCUGGUUCCCACCGAAGUUUCCCUCAGGAUAGCUGGCACUAGAUUAUGGAUGAGUCUCAUCCGGUAAAGCGAAUGAUUAGAGGCAUUGGGGUCGAAACGGCCUCAACCUAUUCUCAAACUUUAAAUGGGUGAGAUCUCCGGCUUGCUCGAUUUAUGAAGCCGGAGAUCGGAUCAAUUAGUGCCAAGUGGGCCACUUUUGGUAAGCAGAACUGGCGCUGUGGGAUGAACCAAACGCAGAGUUAAAGCGCCAAAAUCGACGCUUAUGGGAUACCAUGAAAGGCGUUGGUAACUUAAGACAGCAGGACGGUGGCCAUGGAAGUC
RNAcentral lists this ribosomal RNA (634 nucleotides) under Carabus glabratus glabratus. Its description in RNAcentral is "eukaryotic LSU rRNA". It matches the Rfam family "Eukaryotic large subunit ribosomal RNA", at positions 672 to 1262 of the family's 3401-position model. Lineage: Eukaryota; Metazoa; Arthropoda; Insecta; Coleoptera; Carabidae. The record is from RNAcentral.